AUGAACAUAGGGGUGCAUGUAUCUUUUUGAAUGAAUGUUUUGUCCAGAUAUAUGCCCAGGAGUGAGACUGCUGGACCAUAUGGUAGUUCUUCUUUUAGUUUUAUGAAUAAAGUUCUUAAUUUCAGAUUCUGUAUUUUUCAGUGCUACAGAUUCCUCUUGCUAUUUUUGGUACUUUGCAUUUCUCUGAUGAAACACUUGUCUUUCUAAAUAUAUUAUCUCCCCUUUGCCUCUGUUUUCUUGACCAUUGUAGUCAUAAUUAAUUAAAAAUCCACAUCUACUAACUCCAGAAUCCAAAUCACCCAUGGGUCUUUCUCUCUUUUCUGUUUGUUUCUACUGUGUAGGUGCAUGGUCCUGUCCCUUGGCAUGCCUAUUAAUUGUUGAUUGAAUAUAAGACAUCCUGAGCCUCUAGGUGAUUUUGUUUUUCACCAGAGAGGACUUAGCCUUUCGUCUAUUGGAAAGAUUGAGUGGAAGCUAAUCACCUUAAUCCAGUCAGGUACUGUGUAUUGCGUUGAAGCUGGGUUGCAGUUUGAAUGAGUCUCAGUUUUCUCUGUUUUGCCUCUUUUCCUAUGGGAUAACUUACUAGGCUUUCAAUGGUAAAGGUAAUAUCUUCCCUGGGGACCUUUUAGGUAUUCUCAUCUGGGCUUUUUUAACCUCCCAUUUAGGACAGCUCAGAAUUUGCCAAAUAUUUUGAAGGGGAAACAAGUCGGGUAUCUCAGACCCUCUGGUUCUCCAGCCCUGCAAGAUUGCCAAAAGCACUGCUGGUUCCUCUGUCCCUAGCAGCAUUCUUCUGCCAAGGUAAAGCCCAGAGUAUCAUUCUCACCUUCACCCGGAACCAGCAAAUGCCUCCAGGGGAAGGAGCAGCUACAGACCAUAUUUUACCUCUCAGUUCUCUCUUCUCGAAUCUUAGUUCCUUUAGUUGUCUUUGUUUCAGCCCCUCUCUGAUAUUUUUAAACAAAUACUUUUUGUACUUUGUCCAGCUUUGCUAGUCGUUCUUGGCAGGAGCGCAGAUCUGCCACAAACGACUCUGUUCUGUCUGGAAGCAGAAUUCCAGUGAGUUUUUAAUUUCUCUUAAUAUAUUUUUCAUUUCAGGAAGUUUUAUUUUGUUCACUCCCAAACCCAUUUGGUCAUUUUUGUGAUGUCUUGCUCCUACCUCAUCUUUUUAACCCCUUUUAAAUUUUCUUGUAUGUUUUAAACAUGCUUAUUCUAUACUUCCGAUUAUUUCAAUAUCUCAAGUAUUUACUGCUCCAAUUUUGAUAUUAUUUCUGCUGGCUUCAUUUAUCUUUGCUUUUUGUUUAUAUAUUUCCUGAUUCAUGAAUGUGGGCUUAUAUGUCCUAAAAUUAGUCUCUGUGGGACUCUUUCCCCCCGCCCCCACUUUUUAGGGUAGCAUCUGUAGCACAUUAAGUUCCCAGCCUAGGGAUCGAAUCAGAGUUGCAGGUGUCAACCUACACCACAGCUCGCGGCAACGCAGGAUCCUUAACCCACUGAGUGAGGCCAGGAAUCAAACCCGUGUCCUCAUGGAUACUAGUCGGAUUUGUUUCUGCCGAGCCACAACAGGCACUUUCUCUGUGGGACUUUUCAAGGCCUGAAUUGAAGAUGGGUUCCUUCAUAGAGAUUUAGUAUUUGCUUCUGCCUGGGAACAUGUACAGGCCUUAGCACACUUUAAAAUCUUAAUUUGAAUAUUAUUGGUCCACUUAAAAAUAAUAAUUUGGGGUGAAAAUCCACACGAGGUCUAGCUUCUGUUUAUAAAAUUCAUAGAAGGAAUUUUUUUUUGUAUUUUCCAUUCAAGGUCUGAGUUUAAUAUUUCUCUUUGUGGCUGGGCCUGGGUUUUGUCCACUAUCCCCUGCUCCAUUAGGAGGCAUGAAAACCAAAGCUCAACUUUACCUCUGUCAUAAGUCAGAUGCUCUCAAGGUAAAAACUGUCCUUUGUGCUUCACCUAUCAUUAAGGGUUCCCAGUUUUACUUAGGUUUUGGGCCUCAGUAUUCCUUACUGACUUACCAAAAUAAUGAUGCAUUUGAGAGGUUGUUUGUCAUUUUCUGUCCUACAUGUUUGGUUGUUCACUGUGGGAGGUUCUGGGUCCAUCACAGUAGAAAACAGUAGUCAGGCCUGAAUAUUAUUUACACACACACACAUACUGCUAAUAAAUGUUCUGAAUUUAAUAUCACUUGUAUACAUGAUUAAAAGGAAUAGAUAAUAAAUUUACCUUCAGGAUCAUAAUUGCAGCUCUUUGUCCCCACCAGUAACUACAAGCAGUUUUUCAUUAGAGAAAAGAAAAUGAUUGAAUAAUCCAAAUUAGCCUGGGCAAGAAAACUAACAGCUGCCUAAAAUGAAAUGUUUGAGUUAUGAGCCAUGUGCCACUUUGGUUUAUCUGCAGCCAAAAGGUUCAGAAUCCUUAUUCAAUUAACCACGUUGCUUGGGAGGGCCUGGUUGCCCUGAAUGAGAGCUGCCUGGUGAUGAGUAAGAGGUAUCCGUGACACACAAGUUCAGACCUUGCAACUCUGUUUUUGUUGUUUGAACUUUCUUCUUUGUUGUAGCUAGGGAUCCGGCAUGGAAUUUAAACACUUGUGUGGUAACUCCAUUCCUUCAGCCAUUGUGUUGUUAAGCUCUAGCUAACGAACUUUUAACACUGGUUCCAUGUAAGGUAAGACUUAGAAAAAAGCAGCAGUCAACGUUUCUGGUUUUAUAAAUAAAACCAUAUGAUGUGUCUUUAGCAAAGUAAGAUACUCCUGCAUAUCUAGUCCAGCCACUCCCCCCCAAAAAAUAGCCUUCAAAAUAUAUUUGAAAAAUAAAGAAAUAAACCAAGGUGCACCUAAGAAAGCUUAAAUUAAGAAGUGGCUUUCAUUUCAGAAAAUCUCACCUACUGUAACAGAAACUUCAAAAUGUAUACCUGUUUUGAAACUUGGGAACUUUGCAUAAAAGAGAGAUGCUAAAAUUACGUAAUAUUUGAAAAGGUGAGAGCUGCCAAACGCACCAGUCAAGUAUACUUUGUCUCGUGUGGAAUUUUCUUCCAUGCCAACAGUUUCUGUUGCUUAGGGAGACCCUCCUGGUGGUGCCACAAAGAAUGUUUCUCAAACCCAUAUAGAUUAUGUACACAUUGGCUUGCUAAAGACAAGUUUGAUUUUAAAUCUCUCAACUUCAUUUUGCUUCUUAAUAUACUGUUUUGAAACAAAAACCAGAUGACUAAAAGAGAGGAAACAAUUUUUUCUUCAAUUCGUAAACCAGCUCUGAAGAUAAUUCUGGAGGAGAAAAUUCAAAUAUGGUUUGAACAGCGAUGUAGUAGUUUGACAAAAUAGCUCAGUAUUACUGCUUUAAAGAAUGGCUCUUUAGUUGAAUGGUACACUGAUUACUAGUAUCUUACAUCAUAGUCAUCAUUUUACAAAGUUAAAUUUGUUUUUGCAUAUUUUCUUAAAUUGUGGUCAUAUUGUAAAGAGUAAUUGUGAACUUUUAUUUAGGUGACAUAGAGGAAUGUGAAUAGGUAAUCUUGUUUGUCAAUUGGAAGUGAGGAAAAACUUGAAAUCAGAAGUUUUCUGGGAGUUCCCUUUAUGGCUCAGCAGAAACAAACCCGACUUGUCAGCUAGUAUCCAUGAGGAUGCAGGUUCGAUCUCUGGCCUGGAUCAGCGGGUUAAGUAUCCAGUGUUGCGUGAGCUAUGGUAUAUGUUGCAAACAUGGCGCAGAUCCCUCGUUGCUGUGGCUGUGGCGUAGGCUGGCAGCGGUACCUCCAAUUCAACCCCUAGCCUGGCAACUUCCAUAUAUAUGCCACAGGUGCAGCCCUAAAAAGCCAAAAAAAAAAAAAAAAAAGGAAGAAGAAGAAAGAAGUUUCCCUUCAGUUAAGACCUCAAUUAUAUCAAAGAAUCACUUUAUUUCUGCUUUUAUAAAAGUUGCAACAACUUUUUCAAGAAAUAUAGCUAACUUGUGGACUGCAAGUUUAAUUAUUGCAGAUAUUAUUGUCUUUAAGUUCCAGUUCUUUAUUAUUGUUUCAAUACCUAAGCCCUAUCCUGGGAUAUUUGAGAGCAAAAAUAAAUUGUGCAUGAACAUUACCCACCAAGUUAACAGCUUCAAAAUUUAGUAUUUAGUUACUAAUUUUAUUUUAUCUCUUCUUUAGUCUCCACCAAUUUUCAUCAUGUACUUUGUUGUAUGAAGAUCGUAAAGCUUAAAAAAUGCCCACCAUUCUUCAAUAAAUAGGUCAUUUAUAGCAAAGGCUUUUUGUAACACUUAAGCAUAGAACACUCACUGCAUUUUCCUUGUAUGACCAUGAUGUUAACAUACUGAAAACUUUAAGUUCCCUGAAGAGUUUCUUCUUAUAAAUCUGUCCUAGCUGUGUCUAACUAAAUUAUGUUUUCUUAAGAUAGUAUGUCCUCUGAAAUUGUUUCUAGUAUGUGUCUUACACACAAAGUUAACUAUCUUGGUUAUAAUUGACUGCCAGCAGAUAGAUUCACUUUUGAUAACAGUAUUUUGUUCCUGAUUUUCUAGGAGAUGAAGCUUCUUUCCUCAUCAGUCAACAGUAAACCCAAACUACCAACAUCGUUUACCAUGUUUAAAAAUUAAAAUGAUCUUAAUAAAUAGUGCUCAAAUGAUGGCACAUGGCCAAAUGAAUCAUCUUUGCCCUAAAGAAACACAAAGGGUAAAACACUACCCAUGUAAGACUUAAUUUUCUUGAAAUUCAUCAGACAAGAAGUGAAAAUGCUAUAUAGAUUCUUAGCUUUUGUCUUGAACAUCUGAAGUUCUCUUAGCUAGUAAUUUUUUACUUAGAUUUAUAUCUAUAAUCCUAGGAUCUCCCAUCUCUUUGAAGCCAGUUAAUUAAAACAUGUAAUCACCUUAUAGAACUUUCACAUUAGGGUAAUAUGAGAGAAAAGGAAUUGAAUGACUUUCAUAAUGUGACAUAAGCCGGCAUUUUCAGAGCUAGACGUACAAAUGCAUGUCCAUUCCUAAGCUCUUGCUUCCCUGUUUCUGUUAAGAGCAAAAAUUUGUGCCAUCAUAGUUAAUGUUUUGACAGAUUUUAUCAUAAACCUUGCUGUUGUAAAUUUGCCUUGAGCCAAAAUUUAACAUGUUGUAAGCUCAGAAACAGUUUUUACUGUUAGUGACCAGGAAAGAAAAUAAAUCAAUUACACUCUUUUGAAUGAUAGGAGUAGAGAGUUUAACUCUUUAAAAGUUACACAUUACUUAAAAUUUGAGAGAAAUUUGCAUUUUUAUAUUCAAGAUCUCUCAGUUGUCAAUAAAACAUACAUAAACAUUUUUGUGAUUCUCACAAAGAAGAAUAUAUCAAAGAAAGUAUUAUGAGUCUUAAAUAUGCUCAUUAAAUUUCAUCACCAAAAUAUUACCUCUCAUUUUUAAAAUUAUUUUGCUUCUGAAUAAUCAAUCAGAAUGUACUUCUAGACCCUGUUUGAUGGUGUCUGUCAUCUAUUGCUUUGUAACUACUUAGAGUAUUGUUAAACAUAUUCCCCACUCAUUGCUCUAACAACCUACAGAUCUAGAUUUUUUUUCUCUCUAAAACAUCUUCAAUGACCAUGACCAUUAAUAUUUACUCAUAAAUGCAUUUGUACACAGGCUAAAUCAUAGCACAUCAAUGAAGAAAGAGUUGUAGCCCAGUUCUUUACCCUAGAAUAAAUCAAAUCAACAAAUAUUUAUUGAAUGUCUACUAUGUGCAAAUAGCCCUGGACUGGUCAGCUUUUAAAAGCCACCCAACUUUUCCCACUGACAAAUCAAAGCAUUAUUAUUUCAGUAUUACGGAAGCUGAUUCCAUGUCCUUUAAGUGACACAGCUUGUGAGGACCCUGCAGUUACUUGGGAUAAAGAAAGAUAAGGAAGAGAAAGCAAAUUCACAAACUGAAAAGAGAAGAAAGAAUAACUUAAAUUAUCACCGGUGGAUUGCAUCAUGUCAGAAUCAAGAUCAUCUGCCAACAGUUUAGGAGAAAGGGAGAUGAAAAGGCCUGGAGAAGCUUUGAGUCGUCUGCUAAGGUUGAACACUGGCUACUACAUCACUCUUUCUGUUGCUGAAGAUAAGGCUAAAAUAAAAAGGGUUAUGAUUUACUCUGUUAACGUUAAUUUGUGCUCAUUUUUUAAAUCUCAGGUUAUUCCUCGAGCCACAUCAUCUACUAACCAUUGUAAGUGAAUGUAAGACUUUAAACAUAUCCUGAAAAAAAAAAAAUGCCAACCUCACUUUAUUUAAGAAGUUUCUUGGAAUAUUUUUAAAGUUGCACAUAUAAUACCAAGACUUAAAUAAAACCCCACACCAUAACUUGUUUUAUCAUAUGAGACAAGAAAUGUGUAGAACUUGUUCAUCUCAGAACCCAAUAGCCAACUUGAGAUAAACUGAUAUCUUUGCAAUCCUGCAUUCAAUGCAUUUAUAUAGACAAUAAUAUUAUUA
This is a non-coding RNA of Sus scrofa (pig), 6360 nucleotides long. Lineage: Eukaryota; Metazoa; Chordata; Mammalia; Artiodactyla; Suidae. The record is from RefSeq and is a predicted model, not a curated record.